This 415-nucleotide long non-coding RNA is filed under the name Ananas comosus (pineapple). RNAcentral describes it as "long non-coding RNA (ACOM_LNC039573)". The record is from RNAcentral. Lineage: Eukaryota; Viridiplantae; Streptophyta; Magnoliopsida; Poales; Bromeliaceae.
CCAUAAAAUUUUUGCCCACUUACCAAAAUUAUUAAUCUUUCAAAAUUUUAAUUUUAUUAUUUAAUUUUUUAAUCCAGUGUCUUUAGAGCAAGUGGCAAAGAGUUUAGUGGUUGGUACCCGAGAUUCAAGUUCGAAUCUUAGUUGAUUCACAUUUUCAACUAAAUUUAUUUCUAAAUAAAAUAAACGAAGCGGAUAGCGUGCUACCUAUCUCUCAAAAAAAAAAAAAAAUCUUUCAAUUUGUUCGGUUUGAAUAAGUCGACGACACUUUGACUUUUAAAUUUUGAACGCGUCGUUUAUCUUUGCAGACUUAUAAGUUAAUAUACUUCGUGCAAUUCUGACAACUAAAAAUUUAUUAAAAAAAAAUUAGCUUAAUUUUUUUAGUUAAAGUGCUGGCGAUCGACUUAAAUCAAAAAUA